AUUGGCCAAAGUUUUAACCAACCAAAUAAUGAAAACAUCCCACUCCUGUGAACACCACCUGCCUCUGAUUAGCAAACCAUGCUUCUGUGACUAAACACUAUUGAUCCUUCCACAAGUGUUCGGACACAUCUUGUUUUCCGUGUGUGGAGCUUUGAGGAUAUUUGACCUGCUUUCUCAUCACUCAGAAAUAUGGUAAUGAGAACAUUCUCCAAUACACGGAGAGACGAUAUUUACAGCGGCUGGAUAUCAUGUCGUUUGCUAAUGUGUAGAAGGGGUGAAGAAAACUCAAACAGACUGCUUUAAUCGUGCAACUCAGAGCUACAGGACACGGAGAAGAAAGGAAAGGGACGAGAUGAGAGUUUGUCACAGGAGGAGGAAGAAGUGUGCGGGUGUGUUUUAUUUGCAGUUUGAUGGAGGCACAUAAUCUCCAUUCACUUGACCACUUGCGUCACCCCUCGACUUUAAUUUCCACAUUUCCCAAGGCCGUCCGGUGCCCACCGCAGCGUUGAUACCUUUCAGCUCCUCUUGAGCACACACACAAUCCUGAAGUGAAAAAAAAAUCACAAAGAGAGACUGAAAUGGAGUUGCAGGGCUAGAAUGUAAUUAUUUCCUGUUUUGUGUGCUGUUGCCAUAUAAGGGCAAAGGGUGGGGACAGUCCACUUUGAAUGACAGCUGGCUCAUCGAAUCAGAGCUGCCAGAUUUUUGUAUUCUACUUUAUUCUAACACAAACCUUCAGUAAAAAUGUUUGAAAAUAAAGACAUGAACGAUUUGUUGGAAGCUUAA
Labeo rohita (rohu) is the source of this 783-nucleotide long non-coding RNA. RefSeq lists it as uncharacterized. The transcript has 2 exons. The record is from RefSeq and is a predicted model, not a curated record. Lineage: Eukaryota; Metazoa; Chordata; Actinopteri; Cypriniformes; Cyprinidae.